RNAcentral lists this ribosomal RNA (274 nucleotides) under uncultured bacterium. Its description in RNAcentral is "partial 16S ribosomal RNA". It matches the Rfam family "Archaeal small subunit ribosomal RNA", at positions 473 to 747 of the family's 1478-position model. The record is from RNAcentral.
AAACCAGCACCUCAAGUGGUCAGGAUGAUUAUUGGGCCUAAAGCAUCCGUAGCCUGAUCUGUAAGUUUUCGGUUAAAUCUGUACGCUCAACGUACAGGCUGCCGGGAAUACUGCAGAGCUAGGGAGUGGGAGAGGUAGACGGUACUCGGGAGGAAGUGGUAAAAUGCUUUGAUCUCUCGAUGACCACCUGUGGCGAAGGCGGUCUACCAGAACACGUCCGACGGUGAGGGAUGAAAGCUGGGGGAGCAAACCGGAUUAGAAACCCGAGUAGUCC